GGCCUUCGUCCUGCAGUGGACACAAAAUAGGCUGAUGAUGAUGAUUUUUUUCAGACAUGACAUCUCUCUCUUAUGGGGGGCUAGGACUUGAGUGCUUCACUGCGGGCAUUCUAACCAGUAUUUUCAGACAGAGUGGGUGGAAAAUUCAGCACUCAAGGCCAGUGGCAGAAAAGAAGCCUCGGAUCUGCAGGUCUACAGUGUCAUUGACGGUAACUUUAGAGGGCUGUUGUUUGUCUAGGUAUAAGUGCAGUGAUUCGUACUUCCAAAAUUCGUGGUGUACGGAAUGGAAGAAAAAUUGAUGGACACAUUUUAAGAAGAAAUUGUCAUGCACCCAGUGUAGCUGUAGUUGGGUGGAUGACAAUUUUUAUAUAAAACUCCCUUCCCCUUGCAGUUCCAUAGAACUGAGUCUCCACAAAUUUAAUUCAUUAAUUGCAGAACUGUUCGCAUGUGACAAUGAUUCGCAUAUCAGCCAAGACUGUUGAUUCUCUGAGUUACUUGCAUUAUUUGACUAGGUGCUUUGGUAUUCCAGAAGCUAUUCGAAGAUAUUCUACAUGGAAAAAUGCGACGACCUAUGCCAUUUGCGAAAGAGCAGUCAACUGGUUGAAGACUGGUACUUUGUGAGCGGGUAUUACUGGCUUGCGGAUCCAGCUGUCUUUCACAGAAUUACAUCUCACCGACCUCGCCGGGUCUGCAGCGCAUGCGCCGCUCAUCGCUGCCGACAGGGGAGCGUGGUCCAUGCUACGACACCUCCCACCGCCUUUGCCGGUUCAUCGCGCUUCUUGGAGCAUGGCUGUAUCCCUCGACCUGCGCAUAUGCGGUUUCACCAGUGCUCAUCUUAAAUGACUCACCGACACCGCUGCCAGUCCUGCUAUCUGACGCAAGUCAAGAUCUUUGGUGCCAGCAAGUCCAGUGACUCUACCAGCAAGUAAUCCAGGGCGCCAUCUUCAUACCUUUGCACACGGAUUCACAGCCGCCAGGAGCGACAUGUCCCUUCUGGCUCUACUUAAAGGGAAGCUGAAACGGUUUUCAAAUUCCAUGAAUUGCUGGGAUUGGGAAGAACCGACCUAUUAAUUUAUGGUUCUGAAAUUUUUUUCUUCGUUUUCUUAAUAUAAGGGGCGGAAAUUGCUU
Molecule: long non-coding RNA, 1128 nt
Organism: Dermacentor andersoni
Lineage: Eukaryota; Metazoa; Arthropoda; Arachnida; Ixodida; Ixodidae
Source: RefSeq, a predicted model, not a curated record